GACGAACGCUGGCGGCGCGCCUAAUACAUGCAAGUCGAGCGAGAACCGGGGCUUCGGCCCCGGGGACAGCGGCGAACGGGUGAGUAACACGUGGAUAACCUGCCCUCGGCACCGGAAUAGCCCGGGGAAACUCGGAUUAAUGCCGGAUAGCCCCACAUCCUCGCGGGGAACGUGGGAAAAGGUAGCUUCGGCCUCUGGCCGAGGAUGGGUCCGCGGUGGAUUAGCUUGUUGGCGGGGUAAUGGCCCACCAAGGCGACGAUCCAUAGCUGGUCUGAGAGGACGAUCACCCACACGGGGAGUGAGACACGGCCCAGACUCCUACGGGAGGCAGCAGUAGGGAAUCUUGCGCAAUGGGCGAAAGCCUGACGCAGCGACGCCGCGUGCGGGAAGAAGGCCUUCGGGUUGUAACCCGCUUUCAGGAGGGACGAAGCCACUCGGGUUAAUAGCCCAGAGGGUGACGGUACCUCCAGAAGAAGCCCCGGCUAACUACGUGCCAGCAGCCGCCGUAA
This 509-nucleotide ribosomal RNA is filed under the name uncultured bacterium. RNAcentral describes it as "partial 16S ribosomal RNA". It matches the Rfam family "Bacterial small subunit ribosomal RNA", at positions 28 to 523 of the family's 1533-position model. The record is from RNAcentral.